This 637-nucleotide long non-coding RNA is filed under the name Chrysolophus pictus (golden pheasant). RNAcentral's name for it is "lncRNA (ENSCPIG00010011324.1)". The record is from RNAcentral. Lineage: Eukaryota; Metazoa; Chordata; Aves; Galliformes; Phasianidae.
UUCUGAAAUUAAAUACGCCCCUUAAUUCUGUGUGAGGUCAAACUUUCCCUCACAGACUUCAUCUGCUUAACGCGAGCGGCUGCACGCGGUGAUGCUGAGGAGACCUGAUCCCCUUUUCUCGGCCCUGUUUUAAGAACAUCACGGAACCUCCUCAUUUUGUGGAGGGGGGGGGAAGAAAAAAAUAGAAUAAAAAAUAAAAGGGGGUUAAAAAAUGAGCAAACGGAGGAUGUUUUCCUCACAGAAAGGGGAGGGGGAGGCAGGCGGCCGCGCGGCACAGCGCCGCCCGCGGUACUGCAGGGCCCCGCCCGCUGCUGCUUCACAAAAUGGCGCCCGGCGGGGCCGCGCCGAGCGGUGCUGAGGCGACAAAAUGGGGGCGGGCGGGCAGCGAGGGAAGGGCCUCAGGGCCCCUCGUUCCUCUCCCGUCUCGUUUUGAGGUGUUUUUCCCCUCGCAGCGUGAAGAUUUUGGGGUCGGUGCUGCUCUUUCCGUCCCCUCCACACGCACGCUCCCAGGGAAAUGCAGGAUUGUUUGUGUAACUCCCACUCUGCAGCAGAUAGCUUCUCUGUCACCAUGACUUCAAAAUGCACAGUCCAAGCAGUGAGCAAGGAGAGCAGGCCACGAUACCCUGAUACCCCGUAG